Long non-coding RNA from Sciurus carolinensis (gray squirrel), 956 nucleotides. RefSeq lists it as uncharacterized. The transcript is spliced from 3 exons. Lineage: Eukaryota; Metazoa; Chordata; Mammalia; Rodentia; Sciuridae. The record is from RefSeq and is a predicted model, not a curated record.
AGGCGGAUAGGCUGACACCAGGAGUGAGCAGAACGAGGGGGGAGAGCGAAUGAGGAGGCAGACAGUCCCAGUUAAAAUACAAAUCUUCCUGGUAAGUUACUACUUUGGACAUUGUCAGCCCGUACCUUUGUGCCCUUUGAUGACAGCCUACUGAGAGGAAGGCUCUAAUGGAACUUAGGCCCCAGGGGCCAGGAAGAAGAAAGACAGACAGACGUGAAAGGGGACAGAUGGAAGUACUUUUGUUUUGAAUAUACCACGUCGUUCUUGCUGCCCAAAAUGAGAUGGUAAGCCCCGCCCACCGAAACUGACCAGUUAACAGCCUUCUAGAUGAUUGACAGCAGAUCUGACCAAUCCUCACAGGGGAGUUACCACUUGGCUCACAGCCUGGCAACAAAAGCAUAAAAUAAAAAUUCAAAAAGAUCUAAUAGCAAUAAACUUCCCAGAGUCUAUGAUACAUCGACAGGUAAGCCAAGGUUGUUCUGUGCUGACUGGCACAGUUCCUAAGCAGACACUACUGAGGAGUUGACUCUGUUGCUGUGGGGUGGGGGCGGGAGUAGUGAAAGUUCUGACUCCACCCCAGGAGGGGGAGGGGCAUCAGGCUCACUAAGUGGUCUCUACUGAGGGGUUUGGGGGAGACAAAUGGGAGUCUCAUUAGAGGCUGCCAAGAGUGGAAGUCUAGCUCCUCUCUAGGCCAUUGCAGGCAAGGGUGAAUUUUUUCCUAUAAUACUUGGCUACCGUAGAUCAAAUAAAAUUAGAAUUCUAUGUUGCUAGGUUGCUCCUUUCUGGUCCUUUGUCUCCAAAGAGAAUUUUGUUGGGGCUUUAUUUGUGCAGUUGGUGUUUCACAUAUACCUUUUCCACUAUUGUGAAUGGGAUAUAGUAUUUCUGGUUUUGUUUCUGUUAUGACUAGAAUAAGAGAAAGCUAUUGGAAUAUAAUAAUAGGAUGAUAACUGCAAAAU